AGGGGUAUAGUUCAUUGGUGGAGCAUUCGACUGCAGUUUGAGAGGUCCCCGGUUCAAACCUGGGUUUCCUCU
This is a non-coding RNA of Trichonephila clavipes, 72 nucleotides long. Lineage: Eukaryota; Metazoa; Arthropoda; Arachnida; Araneae; Nephilidae. The record is from the annotation of a GenBank genome assembly.